CUAAGCUUUGCUACACUCCCUAAACAAUUACACAACUCAUUGCCUCUCCUCUUUAAAAACAGUCCACGCCUCUCACAUCUUUAAAGGUGCCAGACCCAAUGAAGCCCGAAGCCUGUUCGCCUCGGCAAUCUCUGGAUCCGGAUGGUCGGUUCCAUCAGCCUUCUUCUCCUUCCUUUCUUUCUUCUUUUUCGGCUCCUCACGGCCAUUACCAUUCUCAUCAGGCCUCCUACGAG
RNAcentral lists this unclassified non-coding RNA (233 nucleotides) under Hevea brasiliensis (rubber tree). Lineage: Eukaryota; Viridiplantae; Streptophyta; Magnoliopsida; Malpighiales; Euphorbiaceae. The record is from RNAcentral.